RNAcentral lists this ribosomal RNA (460 nucleotides) under uncultured bacterium. RNAcentral's name for it is "partial 16S ribosomal RNA". It matches the Rfam family "Bacterial small subunit ribosomal RNA", at positions 338 to 795 of the family's 1533-position model. The record is from RNAcentral.
CCUACGGGUGGCAGCAGUGAGGAAUAUUGGUCAAUGGCCGGAAGGCUGAACCAGCCAUGCCGCGUGAAGGUCAGUGCCCUAUGGGCGUUAAACUUCUUUUGUGCGGGAGCAAUAAUGGUCACGUGUGGCCAGACGAGAGUACCGUACGAAUAAGCAUCGGCUAACUCCGUGCCAGCAGCCGCGGUAAUACGGGGGAUGCAAGCGUUAUCCGGAUUUAAUGGGUUUAAAGGGUGCGUAGGCUGUGAGGUAAGGCAGCGGUGAAAUGCCCCGGCGCAACGGGGUGAAGUGCCAUUGAUACUGCUUGGCUGGAAUGCGGAAGCGGGGGGAGGAAUGUGUGGUGUAGCGGUGAAAUGCAUAGAUAUGACACAGAACACCGAUUGCGAAGGCAGCUCACUAAGCCGCGAUUGACGCUGAUGCACGAAAGCGUGGGGAUCAAACAGGAUUAGAUACCCGUGUAGUC